CGGGGUCCAGCGUGGAGGAGGCGGCCGAGGAAUCGCUCUCCUAAGGACAGGGUGGUGUUUCCCAAACCUUUGAUGGCUUUCACUGCCUUCUCUCUGGACGCCAUCCAGCUGGCUCCUCACAGUGCUGUACCCCAAGCUGGGUGCUGAGCCACUCCCAACGCCAAGCGGAUGGGCUCUUCCAGAUGUUUUUCAGAUUGCAUUCCUCACCUCUCCUUGACAACCUACCCUGCCCGCGGACCAGAAACACACCACGCAGCAAAGAUCACAACUCCCAGAGCCCAGACCGACUGUUUCAUCGACCGCUAAAAGCAUCCCCAGAACCAGAACAAGUGGGCAGCAGCCGGGUGCCUGAAAGAAGGAGAAAGGGUAAGUUCCACGGAAAGUGAAAGGUGAGGCAGCUUUCCAGCGCUCACUCCCUCUGCUUGCCAAAAUAGCAAUGCCCGGCCCACGCCUCGCUCUGACUUCAGCGGAAGAUGCGCUCGUUUCCCAGGAGAGCUUCCUCUCGCAACGCAGAUGUGCUGCACUGAGGCAAUCGCCUUCCAUUGCGUAACGCAACCCGGAAUUAAACACUAUAUGCUAUUCGGUACAUUUCUAAAAUGUAAACCAGAAGCUAUAGCCAAGCUCCACGACGCUGCCAAGAAUGUGAACGCUAUGAUUCGAGCGGGGAAGAACACAUCCUCCCUCCUCCCACAGCCAGCUCUCAGUCGCAGUUUUGCCCGACUCUUUUGUAGUUGUCAGUAAACUAUCGAGUCACACAUCUCUACGGCUUCCAUCUCCAUCUUUGGCGACUGGGGGGACCCCCGGCUCGGGACCUCGUGCUGCCGCCCACAGACCAUCUGGGAAGAAGCCAGCAGGUGGCUGCACCAAGGUACGUGGGGCUGAGGCCACACAGUGCUACUCUUCAGAAGAACACAGGUCUUGUCUAGAAUAUACCAUGCGUAGCCCAGGUUUCCACAGCGGAAAACUCACCGAGGGAAUACUGUUUGCUCAUACUGGCAACGUAUCCCAAAAUUACAGUAAUUUACAACCUCAUUUCCAUUGACAAAAGAAAUAAUAUCAUUCUCUUCUGACAAAUAUCGGUACACAGAGAAAGUAAUGAAUAAAAUGUCUACAAACAGGUAUCAAAUAAAGUAACUAUCAAUCACCGUAACCAAGUUUUAAUUAAAUCACACAUUAAGUAAAAGAACGCUGAAGUAAAACAAGCCACAUAAUCUGAAAUCAAAAUAAAAAUCUGUCAAUCACUCCGAAGCAGGAAAAGCACGAGUCAGAGAAUUCCAAUACCACAACCUGUUAACUGAACGGUCAUGUAAUUGUUACUUGGCAAACUCCAAAUGUGCUAAACGAAGCCAAACGCGGGGAUUCGGCAAAGCAUUGAAGCCUGUGCCAAAGCACAUCUGUAUUUUUAAAAUGUUUUUACUGCGACAGAGAGCUUAAAACUGUGGGAGCAUUCACACACACCUAUACAAUGAUUUAUUUCUAAGAGAGAGAGAGAGAGCACUCAGAAAGCUAUCUGCACCGUCCACAUUUCAGUAUUACAAACCAAGUCAGCUUUUAGCCUAAGUUGCAGACGCAUUUCUGGAGACGCAUUAGAAAGAACCCCAAGGAUUAGUUGUAACACAAAAGGCAGAGGGAGUUGCCUGCCGUCAUCCUGCCAGUUUGUGGAAUGGAAGUUAGCAAAUGAGGCAUGAAAAGAUGUGAGAAAA
Gallus gallus (chicken) is the source of this 1703-nucleotide long non-coding RNA. NCBI's taxonomy places the organism in Eukaryota, Metazoa, Chordata, Aves, Galliformes, Phasianidae. The record is from Ensembl.